RNAcentral lists this ribosomal RNA (476 nucleotides) under uncultured bacterium. Its description in RNAcentral is "partial 16S ribosomal RNA". It matches the Rfam family "Bacterial small subunit ribosomal RNA", at positions 355 to 822 of the family's 1533-position model. The record is from RNAcentral.
UAGGGAAUCUUCGGCAAUGGGGGCAACCCUGACCGAGCAACGCCGCGUGAGUGAAGAAGGUUUUCGGAUCGUAAAGCUCUGUUGUAAGUCAAGAACGGGUGUGAGAGUGGAAAGUUCACACUGUGACGGUAGCUUACCAGAAAGGGACGGCUAACUACGUGCCAGCAGCCGCGGUAAUACGUAGGUCCCGAGCGUUGUCCGGAUUUAUUGGGCGUAAAGCGAGCGCAGGCGGUUUUGAUAAGUCUGAAGUUAAAGGCUGUGGCUCAACCAUAGUUCGCUUUGGAAACUGUCAAACUUGAGUGCAGAAGGGGAGAGUGGAAUUCCAUGUGUAGCGGUGAAAUGCGUAGAUAUAUGGAGGAACACCGGUGGCGAAAGCGGCUCUCUGGUCUGUAACUGACGCUGAGGCUCGAAAGCGUGGGGAGCGAACAGGAUUAGAUACCCUGGUAGUCCACGCCGUAAACGAUGAGUGCUAGGUG